UUAAAUUGAAGAGUUUGAUCAUGGCUCAGAUUGAACGCUGGCGGCAGGCCUAACACAUGCAAGUCGAGCGGCAGCGGGAAAGUAGCUUGCUACUUUUGCCGGCGAGCGGCGGACGGGUGAGUAAUGCCUGGGGAUCUGCCCAGUCGAG
Molecule: ribosomal RNA, 148 nt
Filed under: Aeromonas salmonicida subsp. achromogenes
Lineage: Bacteria; Pseudomonadati; Pseudomonadota; Gammaproteobacteria; Aeromonadales; Aeromonadaceae
Description: partial 16S ribosomal RNA
Rfam family: Bacterial small subunit ribosomal RNA
Source: RNAcentral